Molecule: long non-coding RNA, 7991 nt
Filed under: Homo sapiens (human)
Lineage: Eukaryota; Metazoa; Chordata; Mammalia; Primates; Hominidae
Description: HSALNT0290867
Source: RNAcentral
UCUACAUGACCUGCCACCCUCCACCUCUCUGACCUCAUCUGCUUCCACUCUGCCCCUCCCUCACCCUGCUCCAGCCACCCUGCCUUCAAAUAUGCCCAUCAUACUCCCACCACAGGGCCUUUGUCUGUGCUGCCCUUUACCUGGAAAACCCUUCCCAUUCUGUCUGCCUGGCUCAGCUACCCACUUCAUUCAGGUCCCUGCUGCCUCCUCCAAGAGGCCUUCUCUGGUCUCCUGUGGUAGGCAGAAUAAUGGCCACAGAGAUGUCCACAUCCUAAUCCCCAAACCUGUGGCUAUGUUACCUUAUAUGGCAAAAGGGACUUCGCAGAUGUGAUGAAGGAUAAAGACUUUCAGAUGGGAGAUUAUCCUGGAUUCCCCAGGUGGGCCCCAUAUGAUCACAAGGAUCCUCACACAUGGAAUAGGGAGGCAGAAAAGGACAGUCGGAGGGAGAUGGGGUGUGGAAACUGAUUAGGGAACCUGAGAGAUGGCAGCGUGGGAAAAACAUGGCUCAAAGCUGUGGGCUUUGAAGGUGGAGGAAGGGGCUAUGAGCCAUGGAAAGCAGACAGCCUUUAGGAGCUGGACAAGACAAGGAAACAAAUUCUCCACCAGAGCCUCCAGCAAGGAACACAGCCCUGCCCUGACCUUGAUCUUGGCCAAGGGAGACUCAUAGAGAAUUUCUGAUCCCUGGAACUGUAAGAUUAUAAAUGCAUGUUUUUUUUAAGGCACUAAAAGUGGGUUAAUUUAUGAUGGCAGGCAUAGGAAACGAAUAUGUCUCCCUUCCUUGAUUGACAGUUCCUCAGCACAUUUAUUAGUGCCUGAUACACAAUAGCUUGACUUAUGAAUUGUCUCUUUUCUCUCACAGAAGGUCAGCUGCAGGAGGGCAGGGAUUUUUUGCUUGCUUGGUGUUACAUUCGCAGAUAGAGUUGUCACAUUUAACAAAUGGAAAUAUAAAACACCCAGUUAAAUUGAAUUUCAGAUAAAUAAUGAACUCCUUUUUAGUAUAAAGUUGCCCCAAAUAUUGCAAUUAUUUAUCGUUUAUCUGAAAUUAAAAUAAUUUAGGAGUCUUGUAUUUUAUCUGGCGAAUUCAUCCCCAACACAUAAAACCAUUCCUGGGUAUGUAUUAGGAUCUCAAUAAAUGUCUGUUGAAUGAGUGAAAUAGAUAAGCAAAUGAAUUCACAUUAACUUCUAGCUUAAAAACCCUCUUUGGCUCCCAGAAUGCCUACAGGGUAAAGUGUAAAUCAUAGCAAAUGAUAAAAGCAGACAGUUUCAUAGCCGCUUCAAUAUGCCAGACCCGGGCUGAGUGCUUUACACUUAUUAACUCACUCGGUUCUUGCAAUAACCCAAUGAGGUGGUUAGCCCAUUUUCCAGAUGAGGAAACUGAGGCCCAGGAGGCUUAGUAACUUGUUCAAAGUCACAUAACCAUUGAGCAGCAGAGCCAGGCAAUUCCAGGCCUUUGAAAACUUGGCUCAUGGAAUGUUCUAAUGUUAUCUCCCUACCCAUUCCCCUGAACACUGUGGAUCCUCUCUCUCUAACAGCCCCCGGUUCCUUUUCAGGGUAUGUGCUUCCGCAUUCUCUGACUGCUGAACUCCUCCUCAUACAUCAAAGCCCUGUCCUACUUUUCUCUCUUUGUGAGACCAUCUCUAAAACUCCCAGGAGGACUUGGCCCCCUCUCUUUCCCCUCCCCACCAUGGCCCCUUGUCUGAAUGCGUUGUAAGGACUUGCUAUUGUGUCCUUUACGUUCCCUGACUGUGACCUCCCUGAGAACGGAGAUGGGCCCCUUUCAGCUCUUUGGCAUGGGGCUUCAAACUGAGUCUGGCUUUAGGGGGGUUCCCAGAAGCAUUUGAGAAUGAAUGAAUGAAUGAAUGAAUGAGUGAGUGAAUGAAUGGCUGAGUGAAUGAACGAAUGCUGUUUGUUUCCACUCUGGGCCUCAGUUUCAGAGUCUAUAAAAGGGGAAGAACAAUCCUGAACCGCCCCCCAUUCCUUAAAACAAAACACAUUUUUUUCUGAUUAUAAAAAUAAUACACAUUCAUUAAAGAAAAAUUGGAAAAUAAUAAAAUUAUGAAGAAGAAAAUUAAAACCAUCCAUAAUCCUGCCACCCAGAACAAUGGUUCCCACUGGGUGUUCAGCCUUCUGCUCUUCUUACUGUAUGUAUAGAUUUAUUAUCUUCUUCUCUUCCCCGCCCUCCCUCCCUUCUCUCCUUCCUUUUUUUUUUGAGUGUUGGGAACAUACAGUAUGGGGUCCUUUAAACCUGCUUUUGAAAUCCCCCAACAUGUGUGUAUGUGUGUUCUCCUGUUUUCUUAAAGCCUCCCUGAUGGCAGGGGACAAGUGGCUGCUAGACAAGCCUGGUAGGGGCCAGGGUGUGGAAAGCCCAUUCCCCCCCUACUCAUGGACCACCAUAGUUCCCUUGUGAUGGGCUGUUUAGGGGGUUUCCAGAUUUCUGUCAGGGAACACCCUGCGUGGAUGUCUUAGCUGCAUCCCUGGUUCCUUCCUUAGGACAGAUUCUGGGACUGGGGUUGCUGAGACCAGUAUAGACACUGAGAGGCUCCGGACACCGCCCCACAUCCUCCCCACAGCUGCUCUCCAGCCCCACUCCCACUGGCAGCCUGGACUUCUCAGCUUGGCAGAAAGCCGGGGGCAGUAUUCCACCUCCUCCAGAGAAAAGCCUUGUCUACACCCAAGGCCUCACUGAUUCCAUCCAACGCUGAAAAUACCCAUUUACUCAGCUAUUUCUCCACGUUAUGGUCUAAGGCCCAGAUGCUUAGUUCCAACCAAAAUAGCCACAGAGGUCACUGUGGUCUGAGGGUCCUCUGGACCUCAGGCCUGUGUAGACAUCAUACUUGGUAAUAAUUAACCCACGGAGCUCACCACGUGCCAGACCCUCUGCGUCUCUGUGUGUCCUCACGGUAACCCUGAAGCUAGGGAUGGCUGUCUCCCAUCUUACAGGUGAGAACACUGAGGGUGCUCCAGAGAGCUGUGGGCCCUAGGCCUUGUCACCUGGGGGUGCAAAGGCGCUGCCCCAGUAGUCCGGCUGCCUGCUACCUGGCUGCCUGCUACCCAAUGGGGCAAAGUCCCAGCACUACCCCGAAACAAGGACAAGCUUUGGCCUAGAAGCUGGGCAGCCAGGUCCUGUGCCUGUUUUUUCUCCAUAUGUGCCCUGGGCAGCUCACCCUCUCCGUCUGUGAAAUGGGAGAGCAGGGAGUCAGAGACAGCCUCCUAGGCCUGUGGCGGCUCUGAGCACAGUGGGUGCAGAUACUCAGUGCUGAGUCAAAGAGAGAGAGAACCCUGCCAGAUGGGCCAGCUCACCACAAGCAGCCAAGCCCGGUCUUUGAGGGGUUGGAGUGGGCAGGCCUUUGACCAAGGCUGAGCUAGGAGGGACCUGACGGCCCCAGAUGGAGGCUGGCCCACCCUGCCCCAGCAGAUGGGAGGCUAUUUUUUAACCCCACAGGAAGAAGAGGACAGAAAUGAUUGCAGGGGGUUAACCUAGGCCCCUGGGGACGCUCCCUGUUUGCAUCCUCCUUUCCCCACAACCCAGAGAGCUAUGUGGGCUUCACCUGGAGUUCCCUGAAUCCUUCUGGAGCUCCCCGCAGAUCACAGCCGGAGCUGGCAGGGCCUGAGUGGCCCCUGUCUGCCAGGCGAGGGACCCAGAGCCCAGAGAAGUUUGACCAGGACUGGCUUCCUCUGCCCUCUCUGCUGUGUGCUUCCACCAGUUGCAGCAAGUCCCACCAUCUGCCUGAGUCUGUUUUCAUCUCCACAAUGGAGGUGGUGAUGCCCAGCACACGGAGCUGUGAUGAGGAUUUAAUGGGGAAUCCAGAGCAUUUAUGGAAGUGCCAGGAGGCCAAGAUUCUGCAUAGGGACUGCAUGUGCUGGUGGAAUCUCAGUCACCAUGUCCCACGUUGAAGGAUGUUUGGAGGGGGCUGACUUUGGUCACCCUUCAAAUCAUAAGUUAUAUGCGUCUGCCCUUUCCGCCCACACGUAAGUCUGAACCUUUUGCCAAAAACACUUUUCCCAGACUCGAAAGAAAACCCCAAAGAGGAACCUAAACCUUCACGCUGCCUGCACCGAUUGGACCGGAGUGCUCAGGCUCGCGCCAACAAGUGUUUCAAAGAAGAAGCCAGACAGUGAAGGGGGAAGUGAGGGAGAAGCUGGAAAACUCUCAGGCUGACCAAUCGUCAGCCCAUUCAUUCGUUCAUCCAUCCAUCCAUCCAUCCAUCCAUCCAUCCAUCCAUCCAUCCAUUCUUUCUUUCUUUCCUCUAUCCAUUCAGUGAGAAGGGCUGAAUAUCACCUGUGAGCCUGCCCCUGCUCCCAAGAACACCCUUUGGACACCUGUGGGCUCUGCAAGGUUGGUGUAACCCCUACAGAUGAGGAAACCAGAGACAGAGAAGUGAAGUAACUCAUGCAGGUGACGGCAGAGGGCAGAGUCAGGACUUGAACCUGGAGAGCCUGGCUCUAAAGCCCAAGCUGGAAUCUCGAUACUCUACACCUCGAUAAGUUUUUGGGAAAUGACUGACUAAACAGAUGAACGCGUUUGCCCCCCCGCCGCCCCAGAGCCCCCUUAAAGCCUACAUGUGGCAGUUUGGGCCCAUUUCCUUGGCUUCCCUCCCUGGAGGGGCACCCACUGCCAGUGUCCCUGGUGAGUGUUUGCCUGUGGGGGUACAAGUGAGGGUUCAGCAAAGGUGACCUGGUGUGAGGGGGGGGUGCCCCAGGGGGUGCAGAGGAGGGCCUCAUGAGGCAGAUUCAGAAUGAAGGUUCUGGCCCCCAGUGGAACCGUGCAUGGGCAAGGGGUCCUCAGGGCCAUUGGCCCAUAAUUGUCAGACGGGGAAACUGAGGCCCAGAGAGAGGAAGGGACUUGUCCUUAGUUACACAGAGUGUCUGGAUCACAGCUCUUAGGUCUCAGCUUCCCCAUUUGUCACACAGGGAGAAUAAAUCCCCCUUGUCCUGCCUGGGGGUAGACCCCAGGGGGCCCCUGUGCCCUCUCACACCUUCCAUUCCAGCUUCUAGAAUUCCACCAUCCAUGCACCAGCCCUGAGGGUAGGCGUUGCCCUCUUCUCACCUCCUGCUCACGCCUCUACUGCAGGAUGGGAACCAAAUGCCUCUCCACCCUUUUCCCACACCCCUUCUCUCCACAGUGAACUGAGGGGAGUUUCUGAUCCCUUAGCUCAAAGUCAGAGAAACUGAGAGGGGAGGGCUGGGUGGGAGCCGUGGGAAUGUCAUGCACAAGCAGUCGGACUCUCCAGGGGUCUGGAUCUCUCCCUUGCUGCCUUGAAGGCCCCUGCACAGGCUGUGGCACUGGCUGAGUACAGGUGCCUGAAGGCAGAGGCAUGGAUGGGAUGCUUCAUUCUCAGCCUGUUUUUGCCAGUGAAGACAAAAGGGAAGUCAUCUUCCGUUGGUCUAUGGGGACCCUGAGGUAGUAGGAGCUCGGUGAUAAUUCUAGGGACCACCCUGGGUUGUCAGGUGGGGGAGACAGAGAAGCCCACAUAGGAGGCACCAAAUGCAACUCACUCGUGCCCUUUUACUCAUGAGAGAACACGGAUCCAGAGAUGUCAAGUGACUCAGACACAGUCUCACAGCACACAGGCGGCAGAGGCAGGUAGGGGACUGGGCUUCCCUGGCAGCAGUCCCCAAGCCUGCCUGAGAGGCACAUCAGAAUCGCUUUAGGGGAUUUGCAAAACCACACCUGCCCAGGCCCAAACCCUAGAGAUUCUGAUUCCGCAGUCUGAGGUAGGAAUGGAGAAUCCUCCACAGCCUGAGGUAGGAACUGGGAAUCCAGUGUUUAAAACUCUCUAGGGGCGGUGAUUUCAGAAAACCUGCUGGCUCCAUCACACUUUGCUCAGGGACUGAGAUGGGAUGGCAUUUGGAAGACACAGGUAGGAGGAAGAGGAGGCAGUGGGGGGCACAGGGAGACCCUUCCCCUUCUGGUAAAAGCCUGUGGACGAGAGAACAGCCCGAGUAAGAUUCUGAGAACCCGAGACCCGGAUGGACCUGGAGUUUUUGUCUUGCGUAUAAUUUAGGGGGUCUGUGACACUGGGCUGGAGAUAACCGUGUCUUUCCUUUCCCUGGCCUCUAGCUGAAAUUUAGCAUCAUAUUCCAUGGCGAUUUUCCACCAGUGGAAAUCACAGGUGUUCUCUGGUAUCACAGCGGGGUCAGGGAUGACCUGAAAUAUUGUUCAUGCUCAUCACAACUGCAUGGCCCACCGCGGGGUCUUGUCACUCAGUGAGUUCUUGAAGAGGCACAGACAAAUGGAGUUCAACAAAUGGAAAACAACUGCCUUUAAUUAGCUCCGAGGACUACAAAGGGAACAACGUUAUAAUAGCAGCAACUCCAAGGAAGCAGCCACAGCUCUCAGCUCUCAGACCUGGGGCUGCCGCUCAUCAUCAGCUACAGCUAGGUUUGAUGGGAGUGCCCCCAUUUCAGGGGACAGCAGGCCCCCUUCACUCCCCGACUCAGUCCCCAUCUGCAGCAGCACAGCCUUCCUUGGCCUCACCAGGGAAGAAGAACAGGCCCCGCUCUCAGACAAGCCUUCCCAGAAGCCUGAGGACUCAAACACCCAAAUGUGUCUGGGUCCCUGCCCCGAGCCGGCCACCCAGGCAGCAGCCCUGAAUCACUCGGUCAGCCAGCGGCAGGGCAGGCCAAUGGGCUGGAGGGUAGGCAGGCAGGCAGACCCACCUCUGCAUCUCUGCUGACUGCCUCGGCUGAGGAAAGGCAGCACCAGCCCCCAACCCUGAAGUUCUAGAUCUCAUGCAGCCUCUCUGUUCUGGAACCAUCCAGAGGCACUGCCCUUAUACAUGGUCCACCCCCAGGCUCAGACAAUGAGAAUUCCACAAGCAGAGGGGACUCUAUUUGGGGCACAGAGAGGUUAAGUAACUCCCCUCCUAAGGUCUCUCAGCAAGGAAGCCACUGAGCCGUGGGACUUGAGCUCAGGGACUCUUGAUCCCCAGUCUCAGGUGUCACAGCCCCAUCUGGGCUCCUGCUAGGGAGGAGGAAGGCAGCAGGGGGUGUCUGAGGCCAGGGUGCAUCAGCCCUAAAUGCCAGACAGAGGCAGGAGAAGUCUCCCCAUGAGUCCCAGCCCCAUUAGAGGCUCCAGGUCGGGGAUCCCAGACCCCCUAUCCUUGCUGGGAGACACAACCCAGAACUCUGCAUCCCUGCAGCCACCAAAAAAGGCAAAAGCUGCCCAGAAACACUUUCUCCUCUUCCGUGGCCAAAUCCACGAACUUUCUCGAGGUCUGUCCCCCUGCCCCGUGCAGGUCCAGCUUCAGUGCAGCCCAGCUCUGUGCAGUUUUCCACAAAAGCCUGUGGCUUCCUUCUCCUCCCUCUGCUUCUGAUACCCCAGGAGUUACACACAAAAUGUUGGCGGUGGUCUCCAGGAAGACCCCUGCAUCCCACAGCUCUCCCCAGAAGUUGCCAGCAGUGACCUCCUGAGCCCAGGUGGGGAGUCCCAGGCAGGACAGGGGCUGGGGCUGCAGGCCCUGGGGCCCUGUUAGUGAAGCAGCAAGCCGAGGGUCCCUGAGAGUUUCCCUUGGCCCCUCUGAGGGCUGCCCUUUGAGGUCUUGAGGUCUUGGAGUAUCCAUCGCCCCCACGGCUUACUGUCCCCACCAGCGGAGGAUGAAAGUGCCACAGCGAUGUUCCACGCCAAGAGACCACAGAGACCACCAACCCCUCUUCCCACCUCAGGCUUUCAGAGGCCAGCGGAUUUAGGCGGACAGGCUGUGCGCUUGAGGGCAGCCAGGGCGGUCAGUGGAGGGACGUGGUCCGGGGCCUGGCCACAGCUCCCCACCCAGGGCCCUGGGCUAUUGUUACUCACCGCGGAUGAAGGUCGGCGAGUAGGUCGGGAAGGAGUCGAAGAUGCUGUUCGAUGCCAUGCCCCGCUCUGAAGAAGGCGAGAAUUUUCAGCCCUUCAGGGGGUUGGGUUGGGAUUCACUUGGUUGGCUGUUGUUUUAUUUUUUUUUCCUCUAGCUACUUUUGAAAAUAAAAGGGGGGGGUGUUGCUUUUUGUUGUUU